AGAUUGAACGCUAGCGGGAUGCUUUACACAUGCAAGUCGAACGGCAGCGCGGACUUCGGUCUGGCGGCGAGUGGCGAACGGGUGAGUAAUAUAUCGGAACGUGCCCAGUAGCGGGGGAUAACUACGCGAAAGCGUGGCUAAUACCGCAUACCGCCCGGUAACGGGGGGAAAGGGGGAAGCGACAACGACCUCUCACUUAGUUGGAGCGGCCGAUAUCAGUAUUAGCUUAGGUUGGU
RNAcentral lists this ribosomal RNA (236 nucleotides) under uncultured soil bacterium. RNAcentral describes it as "partial 16S ribosomal RNA". It matches the Rfam family "Bacterial small subunit ribosomal RNA", at positions 26 to 253 of the family's 1533-position model. The record is from RNAcentral.